RNAcentral lists this ribosomal RNA (1105 nucleotides) under Klebsiella aerogenes. Its description in RNAcentral is "partial 23S ribosomal RNA". It matches the Rfam family "Bacterial large subunit ribosomal RNA", at positions 419 to 1531 of the family's 2925-position model. The record is from RNAcentral. Lineage: Bacteria; Pseudomonadati; Pseudomonadota; Gammaproteobacteria; Enterobacterales; Enterobacteriaceae.
GGGACACGUGGUAUCCUGUCUGAAUAUGGGGGGACCAUCCUCCAAGGCUAAAUACUCCUGACUGACCGAUAGUGAACCAGUACCGUGAGGGAAAGGCGAAAAGAACCCCGGCGAGGGGAGUGAAAAAGAACCUGAAACCGUGUACGUACAAGCAGUGGGAGCACCUUCGGGUGUGACUGCGUACCUUUUGUAUAAUGGGUCAGCGACUUAUAUUCUGUAGCAAGGUUAACCGUAUAGGGGAGCCGCAGGGAAACCGAGUCUUAACUGGGCGUUAAGUUGCAGGGUAUAGACCCGAAACCCGGUGAUCUAGCCAUGGGCAGGUUGAAGGUUGGGUAACACUAACUGGAGGACCGAACCGACUAAUGUUGAAAAAUUAGCGGAUGACUUGUGGCUGGGGGUGAAAGGCCAAUCAAACCGGGAGAUAGCUGGUUCUCCCCGAAAGCUAUUUAGGUAGCGCCUCGUGAAUUCAUCUUCGGGGGUAGAGCACUGUUUCGGCUAGGGGGUCAUCCCGACUUACCAACCCGAUGCAAACUACGAAUACCGAAGAAUGUUAUCACGGGAGACACACGGCGGGUGCUAACGUCCGUCGUGAAGAGGGAAACAACCCAGACCGCCAGCUAAGGUCCCAAAGUCACAGUUAAGUGGGAAACGAUGUGGGAAGGCACAGACAGCCAGGAUGUUGGCUUAGAAGCAGCCAUCAUUUAAAGAAAGCGUAAUAGCUCACUGGUCGAGUCGGCCUGCGCGGAAGAUGUAACGGGGCUAAACUGUGCACCGAAGCUGCGGCAGCGACACUAUGUGUUGUUGGGUAGGGGAGCGUUCUGUAAGCCUGCGAAGGUGGCCUGUGAGGGUUGCUGGAGGUAUCAGAAGUGCGAAUGCUGACAUAAGUAACGAUAAUGCGGGUGAAAAGCCCGCACGCCGGAAGACCAAGGGUUCCUGUCCAACGUUAAUCGGGGCAGGGUGAGUCGACCCCUAAGGCGAGGCCGAAAGGCGUAGUCGAUGGGAAACAGGUUAAUAUUCCUGUACUUGGUGUUACUGCGAAGGGGGGACGGAGAAGGCUAUGUUAGCCGGGCGACGGUUGUCCCGGUUUAAGCAUGUAGGCGGAGGU